Molecule: ribosomal RNA, 253 nt
Filed under: uncultured bacterium
Lineage: Bacteria
Description: partial 16S ribosomal RNA
Rfam family: Bacterial small subunit ribosomal RNA
Source: RNAcentral
GACGUAGGGCGCGAGCGUUGUCCGGAUUUAUUGGGCGUAAAGAGCUCGUAGGCGGCUCAUUGCGUCAACCGUGAAAACCAGCAGCUCAACUGUUGGCUUGCGGUUGAUACGGGUGGGCUGGAGUUCGGUAGGGGAGACUGGAAUUCCUGGUGUAGCGGUGAAAUGCGCAGAUAUCAGGAGGAACACCGGUGGCGAAGGCGGGUCUCUGGGCCGAUACUGACGCUGAGGAGCGAAAGCGUGGGUAGCAAACAGG